AAAUAAAAUGGAAGUUAAACACAACCCAUCAGCCACAAAGUUCAAGAAAAGGUGGAAAGCAUGAACUGGACACUUGAGCAGCUACUGAAAAAAAUAUUGCCAGGAAAUUCAUGUAAGAUAAAAUCAGGUUUUUGCCUAUGGUCCUCCUCCGAGUCAGGUGCACCCCCAAACAAACAAGGUAUUUGCCCUAUAAGAUUUUGUUCAGUCGGCCACCCCCAAAUCAUAGGUCAAAUUAAAGGUGACCUCCAGAAACUACAGGAAUUAACCUUAAAAAAGCAAAUGCAGGCUUUAAAAAUAGCCAUACAAAGUGUUCAU
Molecule: long non-coding RNA, 315 nt
Filed under: Homo sapiens (human)
Lineage: Eukaryota; Metazoa; Chordata; Mammalia; Primates; Hominidae
Description: non-protein coding lnc-SFPQ-3:1
Source: RNAcentral